GAUGAACGCUGACAGAAUGCUUAACACAUGCAAGUCAACUUGAACUUCGGUUUGGGUGGCGGACGGGUGAGUCACGCGUAAAGAACUUGCCUCACAGCUAGGGACAACAUUUGGAAACGAAUGCUAAUACCUGAUAUUAUGAUUUUAGGGCAUCCUAGAAUUAUGAAAGCUAUAUGCGCUGUGAGAGAGCUUUGCGUCCCACUAGCUAGUUGGAGAGGUAACGGCUCACCAAGGCGAUGAUGGGUAGCCGGCCUGAGAGGGUGAACGGCCACAAGGGGACUGAGACACGGCCCUUACUCCUACGGGAGGCAGCAGUGGGGAAUAUUGGACAAUGGACCAAGAGUCUGACCCAGCAAUUCUGUGUGCACGAUGAAGUUUUUCGGAAUGUAAAGUGCUUUCAGUUGGGAAGAAAAAAAUGACGGUACCAACAGAAGAAGUGACGGCUAAAUACGUG
RNAcentral lists this ribosomal RNA (454 nucleotides) under uncultured bacterium. RNAcentral describes it as "partial 16S ribosomal RNA". It matches the Rfam family "Bacterial small subunit ribosomal RNA", at positions 28 to 507 of the family's 1533-position model. The record is from RNAcentral.